GACGAACGCUGGCGGCGUGCUUAACACAUGCAAGUCGAACGGUGAAGCUCCAGCUUGCUGGAGUGGAUCAGUGGCGAACGGGUGAGUAACACGUGAGCAACCUGCCCCUGACUCUGGAAUAAGCGCUGGAAACGGCGUCUAAUACUGGAUACGAGAAGGGUCCGCAUGGGCACUGUCUGAAAAGUUUUUCGGUUGGGGAUGGACUCGCGGCCUAUCAGCUUGUUGGUGAGGUAAUGGCUCACCAAGGCGACGACGGGUAGCCGGCCUGAGAGGGCGACCGGCCACACUGGGACUGAGACACGGCCCAGACUCCUACGGGAGGCAGCAGUGGGGAAUAUUGCACAAUGGGCGAAAGCCUGAUGCAGCGACGCCGCGUGAGGGAUGACGGCCUUCGGGUUGUAAACCUCUUUCAGCAGGGAAGAAGCGAAAGUGACGGUACCUGCAGAAGAAGCACCGGCUAACUACGUG
Molecule: ribosomal RNA, 468 nt
Filed under: uncultured bacterium
Lineage: Bacteria
Description: partial 16S ribosomal RNA
Rfam family: Bacterial small subunit ribosomal RNA
Source: RNAcentral